ACUCCUACGGGAGGCAGCAGUGGGGAAUGAUUGCACAAUGGGGGAAACCCUGAUGCAGCCAUGCCGCGUGUGUGAAGAAGGCCUUCGGGUUGUAAAGCACUUUCAGCGAGGAGGAAAGGGUGUGUGUUAAUACCAUACAUCUGUGACGUUACUUCGCAGAAGAAGCACCGGCUAACUCCGUGCCAGCAGCCGCGGUAAUACGGAGGGUGCGAGCGUUAAUCGGAAUUACUGGGCGUAAAGCGCAUGCAGGUGGUUUGUUUAAGUCGAGAUGUGAAAGCCCGGGGCUCAACCUCGGAAUUGCAUUUUGAAACGUGGCAG
RNAcentral lists this ribosomal RNA (318 nucleotides) under uncultured bacterium. RNAcentral describes it as "bacterial SSU rRNA". It matches the Rfam family "Bacterial small subunit ribosomal RNA", at positions 335 to 639 of the family's 1533-position model. The record is from RNAcentral.